CUCAAGGAGGGGACAGGCCCUCUGCUGGGACGGGGUGUGGUGGGGAGGGGGAUCUGGUCUGUUUGCUCAGCAGAGAGUAGACGAUAGGGAGGGAGACCCACAGGAGCCCAAGUGAACAGGUGACCUGGGGGCCGCUUUCCUAGAAGCACCCUGCAGGAGGGGCGUGGACGACAGAAAGGGGCACUGAAGCAGCAAGGCAGAGUUCUGGGGGUGGCGAGGGCCCCCAGGCCCACCCACCUCCGCGGAGCUCCUUCCCCACCUGUGUGGGGAUGGGUCUGGAGGUGCGUCCUAGACUGUGGGCAGCUCCUCCCCAGCGUCCAGACGCCCCCUACCCUAGCCCAGCCUGGUCUGGCUGCGGCGGCUAGGGGCCACAGAGGGCGGGGUCCGGGGCGGGGGCGCGCCGGACCGCUGGGGGCGCGGCUGAGCCGCCAGCCCGCCAGGCUGUUGACAGUCUCCAGGGAAACGGACCCGCCCUCUCGACCCCGGCGCUUCUGAGAGCCCAGAUCCGCGGACCCUCCGCCGGAGCCGCAUCCACCGCCCCUGCUCCUGUCCGCCCCCCAAGUCUGGGUGGCGAGCCUUUUCCUUCCCCGCGCACCCCGCACAGCCUCGGAGCACAGGUGCUGUGAGGAUGGACAUGGGCCCAUCGGAGGUGCGGGCGUGAUGUCGGCCCAGGAGCUCGUGGCCUGCCUCUGUCGAGAGGGUGACCAGCACCUGGCACUGGGGGAGACCCCGCUGGCCACUGCCUUCUAUCUGGCUGCCUUCAGCUGCCACGCUCCCUCGGCCCUGCGGAGUGUCCGAGCCGCCCUGCCCGAGACCCGGGGGUCAUCUGUGGUGGCCACCCUAGAGGCCUGGUGCCGAGGUGACAGCCAGAUACCAGCCAUCCACUGGGACGGCAUGGCAGUGGUCUCCCUGACAGGGACCCUGGCCUGUGCCUUCCUGGCCACCCUCUGCCCCGACCACCCUGUUGCAGCCCUGCACUCCCUGGCUGGGCUGCUAGCACACGGGCACCACGGGGAAGUGGUGCGGCGCUGUGGGGUCCUGCUGGACGCCCACUCCCAGCAGAGCCUGGAGUUGCGGCUGACCCGCGCCCUGGCCUGGGUCCUGUCCAGAACACAGGUGCACACCGGGGUGGCCGAUUACCUCCAGGCCUUCGUGGAGAGCGCCGACCGGACCGUGGCCUUCGUUCACACGCAUCAGCAGCCCUACCUCCCUGCUCUGGUCAGAGCCCUCCAGGACUACAUCUCAGAACAUCAGGAGGCUGGGGAUGGUGCCAACCAACAGGUGACCAACUGCCAGGGACUCCUUGCAGCCCUGGACCCUGAGGGCAUCUGGAGCAUUACCCUGUCACCUGAAGCCCUGCUCCAGCAUGGCAGGUAUGAGGACUGCCGGGCAGCCUGCAGCCGGGCCCUGGAGGCCACCCCAACGGGUUGCAGACCCCAAGGUGAGCGUCUGGCCACCCUGUUGGUCACCCGCGCUGCAGCGACCUUUUUCUUAGACAGCGGGGCCCAAGACCUGCUUCGGGACCUGCACUGGGCCUUCCGCGAGAGCCCCUCGGGGGCUCGGAGGCAGUUCGAGGCCGUGCUCUCCGCCGGGGACCGGGAGCGCUUGCACGCCCAAGUGCAGGAGGCUGCGGACGUGGGCUUCUCCCACUUCCAGGAGACCGUGAGGAGUCGCCCUGAGCUCCGCGAGGACUCUGGCCGUGAGCUGCUGGUUCCGGUGACCCGCGCGCUCCGGGUCCUGUGU
This is a long non-coding RNA of Bos grunniens (domestic yak), 1743 nucleotides long. Lineage: Eukaryota; Metazoa; Chordata; Mammalia; Artiodactyla; Bovidae. The record is from Ensembl.